GGCGCGCUGGGAGGAAGGAAGGGCCCAGCGUGCAGGUGACUCCGUCCGGCCAUGGCGCGGGGGCGGAGGAUGCGGGCGGCCGGGCGUGGCACGCCUCGCCCAGGCUGCGCUUCCCGCCCCGGCCUCGGAGCGAUGGGUCCGCUAGAGCUUGGCGCCUAGAUUUGGCGGGGCUCGGGGCAAAGCACCCUGUACUAACUACUCAGCGGGUCCCACUCGCCAAGAGUCGAUUUUCGUCCUCACCACAGACUUGGGAGGGAGGUCUCAUUUUGCUAAUGAGAAAACGGAGGCUCAGAGGGGUGAGCCGAUUUGCCCGAGGUCGCACAGGAAGAGGCGGAAUUCCUAGCGAGUAAGCUGGACACAAAAUAAAGAAAUGGAGGCCCAGGGAGCUGAAGUUCUUUCCCAGCAUUUGCUGCCAGGAGUCUCUCCACCAUGAGGAAUGAGGCCAAGGCAGCCCGGCAACCUCCGUGCAUCCUGAUCUCCCUGAGCCCUCUCUGCAGCCUUAAGUCUCCACAGACUUUUUCCUAAUAGACAGAUGUGGCAACCAAGGCUCAGUGAAUUUGGCUGCAACCCUUCUCUCAUCUGAGAAUGAGGAAAAUCAGCUCCUUUAUACCCCAAGCUGUGCGACCUCAGGCAAAUCAGCUCACCUCCCUGGGCCUCAGUCCCUUCAUCUGUAAAAUGGGCACACCGUCUCUGAAGUGCCCAGCCUAGUGCUGGACGCAGCGCCAACAGCGGUGAGUAAGAGCGUCAGCCUCUCACCAAGAGAAGAGACCCCACGAGCCAGCCUGUGGCUGCUGGAGAUGGCCAGGCCCCUUCUGUCCUGCUGUGAAGGGGGUGGGAGGGAGCGGGUCUCAGCUCCCUGCCCUUAUGGAAAACCUAGCCAGAGGCUUGAGUGUUUCCAGACCUCUCUGGGCAGGGGAUGGGUUACGUAACGCCAGAUGUUUGUGAAACUGGCUCAGGCCCAGGUCUGAGACACACUUUGCAAUCCCAGAGCCACUUGUAAGCCCGCUCUCCCUUCCCCCAUACGUGGCUCCCCCUUGGCCCAGGGCUGGCGAGAGGCGGUUGCUGACUGGAAGCUUUCAGCUGUGUAGAUUAUUCCAUCACCCCUCACUCCAAAAGCUGAAAGCAGCCCCCAAGCCUGCCCCGGAAGUGGAAAAUCCACUCGCUUGCUGAGACCAGGGUGAGUUUAAGAGCUCUGCUCCCACCUCUCCUGUCAUGCGAGGGCCCCAGCUGCCUCCUCCUCAGCCCCCACUCUCUCUCCUUUGCUUAACAACCCCCUCCUCCCUCCCCUCCCCAUGUCUGUCCACCCUCA
Molecule: long non-coding RNA, 1309 nt
Organism: Cercocebus atys (sooty mangabey)
Lineage: Eukaryota; Metazoa; Chordata; Mammalia; Primates; Cercopithecidae
Exons: 3
Source: RefSeq, a predicted model, not a curated record